RNAcentral lists this unclassified non-coding RNA (379 nucleotides) under Hevea brasiliensis (rubber tree). Lineage: Eukaryota; Viridiplantae; Streptophyta; Magnoliopsida; Malpighiales; Euphorbiaceae. The record is from RNAcentral.
UCGGCCACCUGGAGGGACUGGUGUUCGCACUGGUCGGCUUGCUAGUGUAUCAGACGACAAAAGUAUAUCACUGUAUGAUUAUUCCUGAACAUACAUGGUAUGUUGGGUUUAAAAGCAUCAAGGAUCUGUUUGUGUUGCAAGAUUCACUUCUGCUUUUAUUGUUAUUUAUCACUGAUCUCAAAGAAAUGUUUUGUUUUAGAUUCUUUAUCGUCUGCUUGAUUUAUUUUUGUUUCAUGAUAUCGUGAACAAAAGAGGCAGAUCCGAGAUUCAUUCGUUGCCACUUUCCCAUUGAACCUUUGAAAUACCGUGGCACCCAUCGCCAAAUUCUGCCAAGCAUGUUACUGGGCUUCUGCAAUCUAUAUGAACAUUUCUGGGCAUG